UGGCAAUGUUCAAGAACAAACACAUGGUUUUCUCAGUGAUCUUGGUGUUUCUCAUUGUGGUAUCGCCAAUGGCUAAGGCUCAGCUUGGUCUUGGUGGUCUACUUGGUGGCUCUGGUGGCCUUGGUGGUCUUCUUGGUGGCUCUGGUGGCCUUGGUGGUCUUGGUGGCUCGGGUGGCCUUGGUGGUCUUGUUGGUGGUCUUCUCAGUCUCGCCAAUAUCAACGGGGUUGUAUUUUGCUCUCUCAAUGGUGCUCUCAAUGGCACUUCUACUCCUGCUUUCGCUAGUAAGCUUUCCACUCUUCUAUAUUCAACUUAAAUCAAUCAUGCAAAACCCGCCCAACAAAAAAUUGCCUUAGUUCUGUUAACCAUGUGGGUUUUGUUGUAGAUGAUGUAACAGAUACAAUCAUACAAAUGAUCCAGUAACAUAUACAAAAACGGUUUUAUUAUAAAUGUUUUGUUAAAUCACAUAUAUAUCCACAUGCAUGUUUGUU
RNAcentral lists this long non-coding RNA (489 nucleotides) under Capsella grandiflora. RNAcentral's name for it is "long non-coding RNA (CGRA_LNC001373)". The record is from RNAcentral. Lineage: Eukaryota; Viridiplantae; Streptophyta; Magnoliopsida; Brassicales; Brassicaceae.